GCCGGGCGCGGAGGAGCAUGGCUGUAGUCCCAGCUACUCGGGAGGCUGAAGUGGGAGGAUCGCUUGAGCCCAGAAGUUCUGGGCUGUAGUGCACUAUGCCGAUCGGGUGUCCGCACUAAGUUCGGCAUCAAUAUGGUGACCUCCCGGGAGCGGGGGACCACUAGGUUGCCUAAGGAGGGUGAAUCGGCCCAGGUCGGAAACGGAGCAGGUCAAAACUCCCGUGCUGAUCAGUAGUGGGAUGGUGCCUGUGAAUAGCCACUGCCAGCCUGGGCAACANNNNNNNNNNN
This 287-nucleotide signal recognition particle RNA is filed under the name Cebus imitator (Panamanian white-faced capuchin). Its description in RNAcentral is "Metazoan signal recognition particle RNA (ENSCCAG00000006103.1)". It matches the Rfam family "Metazoan signal recognition particle RNA". Rfam says of the family: The signal recognition particle (SRP) is a universally conserved ribonucleoprotein. Lineage: Eukaryota; Metazoa; Chordata; Mammalia; Primates; Cebidae. The record is from RNAcentral.